GAUGAAGAACGUAGCGAAAUGCGAUACUUGGUGUGAAUUGCAGAAUCCCGUGAACCAUCGAGUCUUUGAACGCAAGUUGCGCCCGAAGCCACUAGGCCGAGGGCACGCCUGCCUGGGCGUCACACGCCGUUGCCCCCCCAUCUACUCCUUCGGGAUUGCGGGGGGGCGGAUGAUGGCCUCCCGUGCGCCUAGCCGCGCGGUUGGCAUAAAUACCAAGUCCUCGGCGACGCACGCCACGACAAUCGGUGGUUGCGAAACCUCGGUUGCCCGUCGUGUGCGUUCGUCGCGCAUCGAGGGCUCGAAAAAAUGCUCGGCUCCGGCUGGGCUUUCAACGCGACCCCAGGUCAGGCGGGGUUACCCGCUGUAUUUAAGCAUAUCAAUAAGCGGAGGA
Molecule: unclassified non-coding RNA, 391 nt
Filed under: soil metagenome
Description: partial contains 5.8S ribosomal RNA, internal transcribed spacer 2, and large subunit ribosomal RNA
Rfam family: 5.8S ribosomal RNA (bases 1-122)
Source: RNAcentral